GACGAACGCUGGCGGCGUGCUUAACACAUGCAAGUCGAACGGAAAGGCCCUGCUUUUGUGGGGUGCUCGAGUGGCGAACGGGUGAGUAACACGUGAGUAACCUGCCCUUGACUUUGGGAUAACUUCAGGAAACUGGGGCUAAUACCGGAUAGGAGCUCCUGCUGCAUGGUGGGGGUUGGAAAGUUUCGGCGGUUGGGGAUGGACUCGCGGCUUAUCAGCUUGUUGGUGGGGUAGUGGCUUACCAAGGCUUUGACGGGUAGCCGGCCUGAGAGGGUGACCGGCCACAUUGGGACUGAGAUACGGCCCAGACUCCUACGGGAAGCAGCAGUGGGGAAUAUUGCACAAUGGGCGGCAGCCUGAUGCAGCAACGCCGCGUGCGGGAUGACGGCCUUCGGGUUGUAACCCGCUUUCGCCUGUGACGAAGCGUGAGUGACGGUAAUGGGUCAAGAAGCACCGGCUAACUACGUG
RNAcentral lists this ribosomal RNA (468 nucleotides) under uncultured bacterium. Its description in RNAcentral is "partial 16S ribosomal RNA". It matches the Rfam family "Bacterial small subunit ribosomal RNA", at positions 28 to 507 of the family's 1533-position model. The record is from RNAcentral.